AGAGAGAGACAUGCGCGCAUAUCAAUAAGCGGAGGAAAAGAAACUAACAAGGAUUCCCUUAGUAACGGCGAGUGAAGCGGGAAGAGCUCAAAUUUGAAAUCUUCAAGGUUCUACCUUGACGAAUUGUAGUUUAUAGAAGUGUUUUCUGUUAGUGGAGUGGCAAAAGGUUCUUUGGAAUAGGACAUCAUAGAGGGUGAGAAUCCCGUAUUUGGUCAUUCCUCCUAGCGUUGUGAUACACUUUCAACGAGUCGGAUUGUUUGGGAAUGCAGUCCAAAAUGGGUGGUAAAUUUCAUCUAAAGCUAAAUAUUGGCGAGAGACCGAUAGCGAACAAGUACCGUGAGGGAAGAUGAAAAGAACUUUGAAAAGAGAGUUAAACAGUACGUGAAAUUGUCAAAAGGGAAGCGUUUGACACCAGCUGUUGUUUUUCCGAAAAUCAAUUACGAAUGUUUUAUUUUUGAGGAGUUAUGACUUCAUCGGCUUGCUCCUUUCUUUAUGAAACUUUCUUAAUGCACUUUUCGGUUAACAAGUCAACAUCAAUUUCUUUUGUUGUAAAAGGGUAUGAGGAAGGUGGCUUUCUUUUCGGAGAAAGUGUUUAUAGCCUUGUGCCUCUGCAAUCGGAGAGAUUGAGGUCUGCAGCGUAGAUCCUUCGGGGUUAGAUACGUUUGUGCUAAGUUAUAGCUUUUCAUAGACAACUUGUUGACUAUGUUUAGUCUUGUAGCUUACUCGCUGACGCUAUUUUACCUACGCUUAGGAUGUUGAUAGUCACAGCGUGUAC
Molecule: ribosomal RNA, 775 nt
Filed under: uncultured Neocallimastigales
Lineage: Eukaryota; Fungi; Neocallimastigomycota; Neocallimastigomycetes; Neocallimastigales
Description: partial large subunit ribosomal RNA
Rfam family: Eukaryotic large subunit ribosomal RNA
Source: RNAcentral